Long non-coding RNA from Telopea speciosissima, 459 nucleotides. RefSeq lists it as uncharacterized. The transcript has 3 exons. Lineage: Eukaryota; Viridiplantae; Streptophyta; Magnoliopsida; Proteales; Proteaceae. The record is from RefSeq and is a predicted model, not a curated record.
UGUGGUAAACAGGAAGACUAGAGAAUGUCAAGUUGAACACUGGUAAUUUGUUCCCCAAUGGGUACUUGGUUUCUCUAUGAUGCUAGCUUUAGAAGUUCUCUAGAGCAGGGUCCUGUAACUCCAUAGAUCUAGGCUACUAUAGCGGAAGAUUAAGGUGCUAGAGAGGCCCGACCUUGGCCUGGCAACUUAAAAUACUAAUGAGUUGCCUUGCAGAACUGGCUGCUUUUCUCUUUAGUAGUUCCCCUUGAUAUUAUUGAUUCUCGUGGCACAUUUGAGGAUCAUUCUGAAUUUGGAGUAGGUUUUACCGAAUGAAGGUGUAGUGUCAUUUGUUUGUCACAUGCAGAAGAUACAGAUUACUCUAUUAUUUAAUUAUUAUCUUUACAAUGAACCUAUUGUUUAAAGAAAACUAGACAGUUGGUUGAGAAUAUAUUUACAGGCUCCACCUUGAGUUGCUGCCCA